RNAcentral lists this transfer RNA (48 nucleotides) under Eutreptiella gymnastica. RNAcentral describes it as "partial Selenocysteine transfer RNA". The record is from RNAcentral. Lineage: Eukaryota; Euglenozoa; Euglenophyceae; Eutreptiales; Eutreptiaceae.
CUCAAGCAGGACCGGUUCCUUGCACACUGCAAUUGGAGCUGGGUGCAG